This 520-nucleotide ribosomal RNA is filed under the name uncultured bacterium. RNAcentral's name for it is "bacterial SSU rRNA". It matches the Rfam family "Bacterial small subunit ribosomal RNA", at positions 777 to 1297 of the family's 1533-position model. The record is from RNAcentral.
AAUAGAUACCCGGGUAGUCCACGCCGUAAACGAUGCACACUAGAUGACGGGGCCUCUCACGGCGCCGCCGUCGAAGCAAAAGUGAUUAGUGUGCCCCCUGGGGAGUACGGCCGCAAGGCUAAAACUCAAAGGAAUUGACGGGGACCCGCACAAGCGGUGGAGCAUGUGGUUUAAUUCGAUGCAACGCGAAGAACCUUACCUGGUCUUGACAUCCAUGGAACCCUGCAGAGAUGCGGGGGUGCCGUAAGGAACCAUGAGACAGGUGCUGCAUGGCUGUCGUCAGCUCGUGUCGUGAGAUGUUGGGUUAAGUCCCGCAACGAGCGCAACCCUUGUCCUUAGUUGCCAUCAUUUAGUUGGGAACUCUAAGGAGGCCGCCGGUGACAAACCGGAGGAAGGUGGGGAUGACGUCAAGUCAUCAUGGCCUUUAUGACCAGGGCUACACACGUGCUACAAUGGUAGAUACAGAGGGAAGCCAACGCGCGAGCGGGAGCUAAUCCCAGAAAAUCUAUCGUAGUCCGGA